Fukomys damarensis (Damara mole-rat) is the source of this 312-nucleotide long non-coding RNA. RefSeq lists it as uncharacterized. Lineage: Eukaryota; Metazoa; Chordata; Mammalia; Rodentia; Bathyergidae. The transcript is spliced from 3 exons. The record is from RefSeq and is a predicted model, not a curated record.
CUCCCGAGGUGCAGAGCCACAAAGCUAGGGGAGUUUUGUUCCUAACUUGGCAAACGUGGGCCGCUUAGUAUUGUGUCUCUGACACCCGCUCGAGGUCCCACACUCCAGCUUCGACUUUUCAUAUUAAUACGUUGAAAGCUUCACAUUAAUAAAAACAACAGAGAAGUUCUCAAGGGCUACGCUUUGGGCCGCUGGGCUGGAGUGAAAACUGUCUGUUUGCAGAACAUGAUGACUGCAUGCAUCAUGGGGAGUUGGAAGAUACACAUAACACAUUGUCAGCCUGGACAACACAGGGAACCCCUAUCUCAAAAC